This 644-nucleotide ribosomal RNA is filed under the name Geobacillus sp. RNAcentral's name for it is "bacterial SSU rRNA". It matches the Rfam family "Bacterial small subunit ribosomal RNA", at positions 90 to 720 of the family's 1533-position model. The record is from RNAcentral. Lineage: Bacteria; Bacillati; Bacillota; Bacilli; Caryophanales; Anoxybacillaceae.
GGUCAGCGGUGGAUGGGUGAGUAACACGUGGGCAACCUGCCCGCAAGACCGGGAUAACUCCGGGAAACCGGAGCUAAUACCGGAUAACACCAAAGACCGCAUGGUCUUUGGUUGAAAGGCGGCUUCGGCUGUCACUUGCGGAUGGGCCCGCGGCGCAUUAGCUAGUUGGUGAGGUAACGGCUCACCAAGGCGACGAUGCGUAGCCGGCCUGAGAGGGUGACCGGCCACACUGGGACUGAGACACGGCCCAGACUCCUACGGGAGGCAGCAGUAGGGAAUCUUCCGCAAUGGACGAAAGUCUGACGGAGCGACGCCGCGUGAGCGAAGAAGGCCUUCGGGUCGUAAAGCUCUGUUGUGAGGGACGAAGGAGCGCCGUUUGAAUAAGGCGGCGCGGUGACGGUACCUCACGAGAAAGCCCCGGCUAACUACGUGCCAGCAGCCGCGGUAAUACGUAGGGGGCGAGCGUUGUCCGGAAUUAUUGGGCGUAAAGCGCGCGCAGGCGGUCCUUUAAGUCUGAUGUGAAAGCCCACGGCUCAACCGUGGAGGGUCAUUGGAAACUGGGGGACUUGAGUGCAGGAGAGGAGAGCGGAUUCCACGUGUAGCGGUGAAAUGCGUAGAGAUGUGGAGGAACACCAGUGGCGAAG